UCCAGACUCCUACGGGAGGCAGCAGUGGGGGAUAUUGCACAAUGGGGGGAACCCUGAUGCAGCGACGCCGCGUGGGUGAAGAAGCGCCUCGGCGCGUAAAGCCCUGUCAGCAGGGAAGAAAAUGACGGUACCUGAAGAAGAAGCCCCGGCUAACUACGUGCCAGCAGCCGCGGUAAUACGUAGGGGGCAAGCGUUAUCCGGAUUUACUGGGUGUAAAGGGAGCGUAGACGGCGAUACAAGUCUGAAGUGAAAGCCCGGGGCUCAACCCCGGGACUGCUUUGGAAACUGUGUUGCUGGAGUGCUGGAGAGGCAAGCGGAAUUUCUAGUGUAGCGGUGAAAUGCGUAGAUAUUAGGAAGAACACCAGUGGCGAAGGCGGCUUGCUGGACAGUAACUGACGUUGAGGCUCGAAAGCGUGGGGAGCAAACAGGAUUAGAUACCCUAGUA
RNAcentral lists this ribosomal RNA (445 nucleotides) under uncultured bacterium. RNAcentral describes it as "bacterial SSU rRNA". It matches the Rfam family "Bacterial small subunit ribosomal RNA", at positions 330 to 792 of the family's 1533-position model. The record is from RNAcentral.